This 433-nucleotide ribosomal RNA is filed under the name uncultured bacterium. RNAcentral's name for it is "partial 16S ribosomal RNA". It matches the Rfam family "Bacterial small subunit ribosomal RNA", at positions 29 to 507 of the family's 1533-position model. The record is from RNAcentral.
AACGAACGCUGGCGGCAUGCCUAACACAUGCAAGUCGAACGAGACCUUCGGGUCUAGUGGCGCACGGGUGCGUAACGCGUGGGAACCUGCCCUUAGGUUCGGAAUAACUCCCCGACAGGGGUGCUAAUACCGGAUAAUGUCUUCGGACCAAAGAUUUAUCGCCUUUGGAUGGGCCCGCGUUGGAUUAGCUAGUUGGUAGGGUAAAAGCCUACCAAGGCGACGAUCCAUAGCUGGUCUGAGAGGAUGAUCAGCCACACUGGGACUGAGACACGGCCCAGACUCCUACGGGAGGCAGCAGUGGGGAAUGUUGGACAAUGGGCGAAAGCCUGAUCCAGCAAUGCCGCGUGAGUGAUGAAGGCCUUAGGGUUGUAAAGCUCUUUUACCCGGGAUGAUAAUGACAGUACCGGGAGAAUAAGCUCCGGCUAACUCCGUG